GCAAGGAGGUAAAUUCCCAGUUCUUCCACAAGCUCCUGAAUUGACAAAAGAAACAGAAGCCAGUGGAAAUAAUAUGAAGAAAUGGAACAGAUUUCACUUGAAGUCAUGUUAUGCUGUCUGCUAUACCUUGGAAACAGGCAAGGGUACCUUCCAUCCCUGAGCUUGAUCCUCGGAGAUGUGAGAGGAGGGCCACCUGGGGAGCCACACAGUUUUGCGGCAGGAGGCCGGAGAAUCGCCUGGAAUGCCCAGCCGAGGAGCACAAUUGGCAGAACAAAGACUAAUUUAGGAGCCAUUUUCUCCAGAUCUGGUGCUUUCAGGUGAGAGACAAAUGUGAAGAUAGCUUCGAGUGGCAAGGCACACUUGCAAUGUCGGUUGUGCUUUAUUCCAUUGGUGGCCUUUCUGCAACAGAUGGGCCCCAUCAGGGAAUAAGGCCAUCAUUGCUUUUAUUUUUCUUUUUUGUUUUGCAUCUUCUGUUUUAGCUUGUUGCUGUAGAUAUAUAUAGUAUGACUAUUUUAUCAUCCUCAUGGUCUACUUCGAUCCAGAUCCACUUUCAUAUUUUGAAAUGUGAAUUUGAAUAGUCACUGUGGUGAAGAGGCACGGAUCUAGCCUGGGACAA
Molecule: long non-coding RNA, 616 nt
Organism: Panicum virgatum (switchgrass)
Lineage: Eukaryota; Viridiplantae; Streptophyta; Magnoliopsida; Poales; Poaceae
Exons: 2
Source: RefSeq, a predicted model, not a curated record